AAGGGGCGGUGGGUCCCAGGUGAAAGUCAUGUUCUCUCUGGUUUCUCUACCUGCUUUAAAAACCACAUUUGCUGAUGCUAACAUGCCUCGAGAUAGCCGGGCCAGGCGGGAGCGGAUCCGCAAUGCGCAGCGACGUGCACGUGCAGCAGAGUCAGACGAGGCAAGAAAUGCACGCCAAGCUCGCGAUCGGGUAGGCCACAAACUCGCGCGAGACUCAGAGACACCGGCGAUGCGAGCAGAGCGUCUGGGAAGCAACGCUGCAUGCAUCGCUAGAGCAAGGGCAAAAGAAACGCAGGAGAUGCAAGCGGAGCGACUGGCAGGUAAUGCUAAAUGCACGGCUAACGUGAGAACAACAGAAUCUCGGCAGGUGCGAACAGGACGUCUUGCACGCAACGCUACAUGCACUGCUAAAGCGAGGGCUAAAGGAAUGGAGCAGAUGCGAGCGAAGUGUUUGGCAGGUAAAGCUGCAUGUUCUGCUAAAGCAAAGGCAAAGAAUCGGCAGCAGAUGGGAGCGGCAGAAGCAACACAGCAGUUGCGGGCGGUGUGGCUGGCAAGCAACGCUGCGUGCUCUGCUAACGCGAGGGCAACAGAAACUGAGAAGAUGCAAAGAGAGAUCUCACUUUUUCAAUGUCCAAACUGCUCACAUUGUGGAGCCUUCGUGUGGAAAGAGAUCGAAAAAGGAUAGACCUUUUCAUCAUACACAUUGUGAAUGAACCAUUAAUAUUCAACACCUGCUUCAUUCAGGCUUUUAGAAAUGAAUUCUAACACGAGUAUAAAACAAAUCCUGAUAUUAAAGAACAGCGUUCCACAUAGUGCCAAACUGGAGUGAGUAAAAAUGCUGUAUUGACGCAUAUCCUCAACACUGAAGUCACAGGAAAAGCUAAAAAAUGAGGAUCUAUAUGUUAAUAAAGCACAUCAGACUUAAAGAAAACAUCCUGCAUCACCAGUCAGUGGCCACAGGGUGUCAGUGUGCAGCUACCAAUCUGCUGCAGGAGAGGCAACCCCCUCCAGCCAGCAUCGCUCCACAGACGUCCAGUAUGUCUGAGGAAUUAAUGGCUGUUGUUUAAACAUUGUUUGGAUGCGAGUCCGGGGACCGUCGGUACACACUGAUGCUUCCCUGUACAGCGAGCACGCCGGCCCUGACGAGCUUUGGCCGACUGGCAAGUGUUUCAUUUACUAAAGUGACUGUCUGGAAGAAUUGUGGGCCAUUCAUCUGCGGGACACUGCAGAAAAUCAACUACAUAAUCUAUCUUAAGAUGUGUAGUACACACACACACACACACACACACACACACACACACACACACACACACACACACACACACACACACACACACACUGUUGUUUCUGGGAUGUGACAUCAUUUCUGACCUUUGCCCCCGUGAGAAGAAUUCACUCAGCGUAGUUAAGCUCACAAAAUGGCUCAAUCCUUUUGUCUUCGUCUUGCCGUUUACUGCGGGAUCAGAUUCCCUUUUCAAAGACGCGAUCCGUCCACGACCACUUGGAGGCCCAUUAGCCGGAUUAACUAACCUUCUGAUUGCCACAACAAGGUUCUGUUGUGUUGCAUCACUUGAAUUAAUGAGGCAAGCUGAUGAAAACCAGAGUGACGAAAAAUGGAGCAAAAAAAGGGCCGAUGGUCUCUCAGCAGAGUGAAGAGGACGCCUCGUUUGCCUUAAGUGUUAUCUGUCUGCUGGAUGUCUGCUUUACCUUCAUUUGGUGGUUGUGGUUUGUCAGAACGGGGGGGGGGGGGGGGGGGGAGUUCUGCUAAUCUGGUCGAGAGCUUAAACGUUUCCACUGCACUGAUAAUAAAAUCACUACUUUUCAGGAAGUGCAUCUUCAACAUUAAAACAUUCCUCUGGAUUACACAAAGGAACAUUUCAUUGUUAUUAGUAAAUCUGUCUAAAACAACGAUAAGUCUUAAAAAUCAUUAUAAUGUGCUAGUAUUAUGUCUCAUGUCAAAUGCUGCACGUCUGUCCUGUCAUUGUUUUACCUGUAAAAUGUGUUUGUUUGGAUCCACAAGGCCUUCAAUCUGCAAACACAAUAUUAUCAUAUCAACAUAUCUUAUAUUAAUUCUGGGAUAUACCCUCAAACAGUCAGUCCAGGUUUUGAUUCCCUCGCUUUUAAUUAAAUUCAGGUUCUCAGGCCACAAUAAAUGUUCCCGACUUUUAGUUUGGCCGCACUUCGCUGCAGAUUCAAAAUGGCCGCAGCUCUGAGGUUCCAGCAGCCACUUCAGCUUUCCAUAGACACCGCAGAGCAGCUCGCCGCAGGCCGCACUUUGGUGCUUCCCAGUGAAUUCACCGGUAAUUCUGCGCACACACGCAUAAGUCAGCAGCAACAACAAGCUAGCUAGCUUAAACCAGGCAGCUGAAGUUUGACCUUGUGGAACCGACUCGAGAGAGUCUGACGACGGCCGAUCAAAGGUUCUGAUAAUUCCUCUGACCCGAUGGGAGCAGUUGAUUGAGCCGUGAUCAGUCCUCGCUCCCCGCUGUACAUUGCACGACAAACGACGCUGAAAUUCGGCUCUAAGAUGAGUCAUACGUCUCAAAAAUCGGGUCAGAAACCGGUUUAAAUCAUAAUACUGUCGUGCAUCUUAACAGGAAUGUACAUUUAUCAGCAGAUUAUGUUUUCAAGUUGAAAUGUUUCAAUGCCCGAAAGAGAAAAGUAAAAGAAACGGCAACACAGAGCGGUUAGAAGAAGUGCUGCCGGCGACAGAUGCCACAGACCUCAAACGCACCUUUUACCGAAACUCUUUCCUUACGCUGCGGCACAAAAAAGAAAGUUAAUUUAAAGCUGAAUUACAUAAAACACAUACGGUUGGGUUUAAAUGACUACUUUGAGGUUACUAUAAUAACCACAUGGACUAUGUUACUGAUCGUGGUGAUGGUUUAAAAUAAAUGCUAUAUGAAUGCUAAUUAGUAGCAUUAGCAUUUUUGUAGGCGACAGUUUGGUUUGAAUCAUUUUAAAUGUUUUUGUUUCAUGUGUUUUUAAUGUUUUGGGGCAUUUACUGAAACUGAUGCCGUCGGACAGUCUUAAAACAAACCUUUGGAUGUUAAUUCCUCUUAAAGUUGUUGGCUAACACAUUAGCUGUUUGGCUAACGCAUUAGCUGUUUGGCUACUCAGCCGACACAGAGCAACAUUAGUGUCAUUUAGAGUCUUGUCUGUGUCCUAUAUGACUGUAAGUCUAA
This is a long non-coding RNA of Cottoperca gobio, 3185 nucleotides long. NCBI's taxonomy places the organism in Eukaryota, Metazoa, Chordata, Actinopteri, Perciformes, Bovichtidae. The record is from Ensembl.